CCUACGGGAGGCUGCAGUGAGGAAUAUUGGUCAAUGGCCGAAAGGCUGAACCAGCCAAGUCGCGUGAAGGAAGAAGGCCCUAUGGUUUGUAAACCUCUUUUAUCGGGGAAUAAAGGUAUCCACGUGUGGAUCUUUGCAUGUACCCUAUGAAUAAGCAUCGGCUAACUCCGUGCCAGCAGCCGCGGUAAUACGGAGGAUGCGAGCGUUAUCCGGAUUUAUUGGGUUUAAAGGGUGCGUCGGUUGUUUUUUAAGUCAGCGGUUAAAGUUUGUGGCUCAACCAGAAGCUGGCCGUUGAAACUGGAAGACUUGAGUGUGUUUGAGGUAGGCGGAAUGCGUGGUGUAGCGGUGAAAUGCAUAGAUAUCACGCAGAACUCCGAUUGCGAAGGCAGCUUACUAGGCCAAAACUGACACUGAAGCACGAAAGCGUGGGGAUCAAACAGGAUUAGAUACCCCAGUAGUC
Molecule: ribosomal RNA, 460 nt
Filed under: uncultured bacterium
Lineage: Bacteria
Description: partial 16S ribosomal RNA
Rfam family: Bacterial small subunit ribosomal RNA
Source: RNAcentral